GAUGAACGCUAGCGGCAGGCCUAAUACAUGCAAGCCGAACGGCAAGUUUGAUAGCAAUAUUGGACCUAGAGUGGCGCAAGGGUGCGUAACACGUAUGCAACCUGCCCGCGACAGGAGGAUAGCUCCCCGAAAGGGGAAUUAACCCACCAUAACACCAUGGGAAGGCAUCUGCUUAUGGUUACGCCGCAAGGGGUCGCGGAUGGGCAUGCGGUUGAUUAGCUAGUUGGCGGGGUAAAGGCCCACCAAGGCGGUGAUCAAUAGGGGUUCUGAGAGAAAGGACCCCCACACUGGCACUGGGAUACGGGCCAGACGCGUGCGAGAGGCAGCAGUAGGGGAUAUUGGACAAUAGUUGCGAGACAGAUCCAGCGAGGCCGCGUGCAGGAAGAAGGCGUUCUGGGUCGUAAACGGAUGGAUCCAGAGGAUAAAAUACCCGUACGAGGGGAAUUGAAGGUAACAGAAGAAUAAGCCACGGCUAACUACGUG
Molecule: ribosomal RNA, 483 nt
Filed under: uncultured bacterium
Lineage: Bacteria
Description: partial 16S ribosomal RNA
Rfam family: Bacterial small subunit ribosomal RNA
Source: RNAcentral